CCUACGGCGGCUGCAGUGGGGAAUAUUGCACAACGGGGGAAACCCUGAUGCAGCGACGCCGCGUGAGUGGAGAAGUAUUUCGGUAUGUAAAGCUCUAUCAGCAGGGAAGAAAAUGACGGUACCUGAUUAAGAAGCGCCGGCUAACUACGUGCCAGCAGCCGCGGUAAUACGUAGGGGGCAAGCGUUAUCCGGGUUUACUGGGUGUAAAGGGGGCGUAGACGGCAGCACAAGGCUGGAGUGAAAUGCCCGGGCUUAAACCCGGAACUGCUUUGGAAACUGGGCAGCUUGAGUGCAGGAGAGGUAAGUGGAAUUCCUAGUGUAGCGGUGAAAUGCGUAGAUAUUAGGAGGAACACCAGUGGCGAAGGCGGCUUACUGGACUGUAACUGACGUUGAGGCUCGAAAGCGUGGGGAGCAAACAGGAUUAGAUACCCGGGUAGUC
Molecule: ribosomal RNA, 439 nt
Filed under: uncultured bacterium
Lineage: Bacteria
Description: partial 16S ribosomal RNA
Rfam family: Bacterial small subunit ribosomal RNA
Source: RNAcentral